RNAcentral lists this ribosomal RNA (253 nucleotides) under uncultured bacterium. RNAcentral's name for it is "partial 16S ribosomal RNA". It matches the Rfam family "Bacterial small subunit ribosomal RNA", at positions 524 to 776 of the family's 1533-position model. The record is from RNAcentral.
UACGAAGGGAGCUAGCGUUGUUCGGAAUUACUGGGCGUAAAGCGCACGUAGGCGGGCAACUAAGUCAGGGGUGAAAUCCUGAGGCUCAACCUCAGAAUUGCCUUUGAUACUGGUUGUCUUGAGGUCGGGAGAGGUUGGUGGAAUUCCUAGUGUAGAGGUGAAAUUCGUAGAUAUUAGGAAGAACACCAGUGGCGAAGGCGGCCAACUGGCCCGAAUCUGGCGCUGAGGUGCGAAAGCGUGGGGAGCAAACAGG